GUGGGAACGUACCCUUCACUACGGAAUAGCUUCUGGAAACGGAAGGUAAUACCGUAUACGCCCUUCGGGGGAAAGAUUUAUCGGUGAAGGAUCGGCCCGCGUUAGAUUAGAUAGUUGGUGGGGUAAGAGCCUACCAAGUCUACGAUCUAUAGCUGGUCUGAGAGGAUGAUCAGCCACACUGGGACUGAGACACGGCCCAGACUCCUACGGGAGGCAGCAGUGGGGAAUCUUGCACAAUGGGCGAAAGCCUGAUGCAGCCAUGCCGCGUGAAUGAUGAAGGCCUUAGGGUUGUAAAAUUCUUUCGCCAGGGAUGAUAAUGACAGUACCUGGUAAAGAAGCCCCGGCUAACUUCGUGCCAGCAGCCGCGGUAAUACGAAGGGGGCUAGCGUUGUUCGGAAUUACUGGGCGUAAAGCGCGCGUAGGCGGGCUAUUAAGCCAGAUGUGAAAGCCCGGGGCUCAACCCCGGAAUUGCAUUUGGAACUGGUAGCCUAGAGACCAGGAGAGGUUAGCGGAAUACCGAGUGUAGAGGUGAAAUUCGUAGAUAUUCGGUGGAACACCAGUGGCGAAGGCGGCUAACUGGACUGGUACUGACGCUGAGGCGCGAAAGUGUGGGGAGCAAACAGGAUUAGAUACCCUGGUAGUCCACACCG
RNAcentral lists this ribosomal RNA (650 nucleotides) under Henriciella algicola. RNAcentral describes it as "bacterial SSU rRNA". It matches the Rfam family "Bacterial small subunit ribosomal RNA", at positions 117 to 802 of the family's 1533-position model. Lineage: Bacteria; Pseudomonadati; Pseudomonadota; Alphaproteobacteria; Hyphomonadales; Hyphomonadaceae. The record is from RNAcentral.